GGUGGUUUUCAGGUGACACACCCUGGAAUCGGGCUCCCUCCUCUCUGGUUCCAGGUGCGUCAGAGGGUUGUG
Molecule: non-coding RNA, 72 nt
Organism: Myotis lucifugus (little brown bat)
Lineage: Eukaryota; Metazoa; Chordata; Mammalia; Chiroptera; Vespertilionidae
Source: Rfam